This is a non-coding RNA of Triticum urartu, 398 nucleotides long. The record is from RefSeq and is a predicted model, not a curated record. Lineage: Eukaryota; Viridiplantae; Streptophyta; Magnoliopsida; Poales; Poaceae.
UGGCCACUUCAUCCGUUGAGAGAAUAUUUUCAGCAAUGAAGAUAAUCAAGACAGAUUUGCGCAACAAACUAUCAGAUGAUUGGCUAAAUGAUUUGAUGGUGUGCUACUGCGAGAAAGAGAUAUUUAGAAGCAUUCCUGAUGACCAAAUCAUGAUACAAUUCCAGAAAAUGAGGGAUCGGAAAGGACAUUUGCCACAUGAGUUUCAUGUGAUUUCUUAGAGAUGGCUUGUAGGAGGUGCCUUACGCAUACAUUUCUAUAUUUUGGUGUGAAGGUGUUCUAUAACUACAGUACUAGUUAGUAAGAGCAACAUUUCAUUGUCCUUUUGUUGUUACUUCUCUUGUACUUUGAUACCUUGUGUAUGAAUUGUAUUAACAUUUCUAGUAUGGUUAAACAUGUUA